AUUGAACGCUGGCGGCAGGCCUAACACAUGCAAGUCGAGCGGAUGAAGGGAGCUUGCUCCUGGAUUCAGCGGCGGACGGGUGAGUAAUGCCUAGGAAUCUGCCUGGUAGUGGGGGAUAACGUCCGGAAACGGGCGCUAAUACCGCAUACGUCCUGAGGGAGAAAGUGGGGGAUCUUCGGACCUCACGCUAUCAGAUGAGCCUAGGUCGGAUUAGCUAGUUGGUGGGGUAAAGGCCUGCCAAGGCGACGAUCCGUAACUGGUCUGAGAGGAUGAUCAGUCACACUGGAACUGAGACACGGUCCAGACUCCUACGGGAGGCAGCAGUGGGGAAUAUUGGACAAUGGGCGAAAGCCUGAUCCAGCCAUGCCGCGUGUGUGAAGAAGGUCUUCGGAUUGUAAAGCACUUUAAGUUGGGAGGAAGGGCAGUAAGUUAAUACCUUGCUGUUUUGACGUUACCAACAGAAUAAGCACCGGCUAACUUCGUGC
This 485-nucleotide ribosomal RNA is filed under the name uncultured bacterium. RNAcentral describes it as "partial 16S ribosomal RNA". It matches the Rfam family "Bacterial small subunit ribosomal RNA", at positions 30 to 508 of the family's 1533-position model. The record is from RNAcentral.